AUGAGGCAACAGUCUGACAUAUUUGGGUACUUUGUAAUAUGUCAAAAGUUGGAGAAAAGGAUAAAAUACCUUGCAGAUGUUUUUUUCAAAGUACAAAUCAAGACUGCAUUUGGUAAAGGUUUCCAGCUUGAAUGCAAAUCUGUGGUCACUUUAGAGGCAUUGUUCGAUCUAAUGAGAACAAGGAAGCUAAAGCAGAAACCAAGGUCGCCUGUUCCUCUAGAUGAUCAAAAGGAGAAAAGAGAAAUAGUUCGCUUAAGGUGGCAGGAGUGGAAUUUUGGAUUCACCACAUCCGAGUUAAAUUUUGGACACCCCCUGAGAAACCUGCGGGACCGUCAGCUCAGGAGUCCCAAGAUCAGUCAGACCAGCCUCGAUACACCCGCGAACCGUUGGAGGACUUCAUCUCCUAUUUCGGAAGGAAAAAUCCCAGACUAAAGAGGCUCCUACCACUGAUCCUGAAGAAAAACCCCAUCCUCCUUAAAAAAGAUAAGUGAAAACCUACAUAAUCUUUCUCUUUAACACCCUUCCUUACCCCUUUAAUGGAAUCCUUUUACUAUUUCAUCAUAUUAUUAAGCAGCAUACUAACCAUACUCUUUAAGAUAGGGCUAUAUACUGUAGUUCCUGCUGGGAGGAAAAUCUUAGUCACAUCAACCUUAUUUCUAUCUUCCUUCCUUCUGGCAGCAAUUUACUCUUACCUUUAACUCAGCCUUGAUAAAAUGAUCUCGUCUUCCAGAGCACCCUCUUUACCUUCCUAUUUACUUUUUGCCUACCUAUCCCUCCUGCUUCCUUGGAUACCUCAUACAGCCACCCCUCCCCUUCCACUGGCUCCUAAUUGCCUCUACAAGACUCUCAACUUAACCCACUCUCUGUUAAACCAGUCCAAUCCUUCCCUGGCAAACGAUUGUUGGCUUUGUAGCUCUCUAUCAACCUCUGCUUACCUUGCCACUCCCAUUCCUGCAAAAAAAUGGGUCUUUACCAACUUAACCUACCACCCUCAUUAUGAAGGAAAAGACCAUUUCUGACUUCUAAAUAUGCAAUCAUUAGCCAAUUUCCCCAUCUCUGAUAGGACUGAGAAUACCCUAACAGGAUGUGCAAUCCAACUUUUACAUUCUUACAUUUCCAACGUCACCUAUUACACAAGAAAUGAAAAGCCCAUACACGGCCCUGUAACUAUGAAUACCAUCUUAACUUUCCAAGCCCCUUUAUGCAUCCAAUGCAACCUGUUAUCAGGCCUGCCCCUGGGGCACCUACUACCCAUCAGUGUAAUUAUACCCUACAACUUCAAGUCCCAACUGAUCAGGCACCUCGAAGUCACCUAAACAGCUCCA
RNAcentral lists this long non-coding RNA (1325 nucleotides) under Papio anubis (olive baboon). Its description in RNAcentral is "lncRNA (ENSPANG00000045824.1)". The record is from RNAcentral. Lineage: Eukaryota; Metazoa; Chordata; Mammalia; Primates; Cercopithecidae.